RNAcentral lists this long non-coding RNA (812 nucleotides) under Pogona vitticeps (central bearded dragon). RNAcentral's name for it is "lncRNA (ENSPVIG00000012432.1)". Lineage: Eukaryota; Metazoa; Chordata; Lepidosauria; Squamata; Agamidae. The record is from RNAcentral.
AUGGAUUUCCUCAAAGUAGGCUGGAUAUUGAAUUUAGUCCCUAAUCCAAAAUUUACUCAUCAGGAUGCUGUAUAAUGCUGCAGAGCCAGAGGCUGGGAGUUGAGUCCCCCACUAUGCAUCCCAAGAGAGCCAGACUGUGUAGCCUUGGGCAAGCUGCACAGUCCCAAGGCACCUCCAGAAGAAGGGGAUGGGAAACCACUUUAUAAAAAUAAAAUCUACCUAGAAAAUCCUGGGAAGGGUCACCAUAAGUCGGAAUUAUUACUAUUAACGAGUGGCUUGUAUUCUUUCUUGCACCCCAAAUCAGAGGGAAUGCGAUGGUGAGAAAUACAGGUGGCUACUUUAAAGAGUGGUUUUACCAGUUCCCUACUCAAUUGCCAUGGCAGAGCACGGAUUUGAACCCUGUUUUCCAGAGUCGUAGUCCAUCAAUCCAUCCACUAUAUCAUACUGGGAACCACAUUCAGUAGAAAGAACAGCUGCUUAUUACAUGUCUGCAGAAUCCUGCUUGAGGGUUCUAUAUAGCUGGGGGAUGAGGGCCUCCCAAACUUACGAUCGCCUGAUACACAUCGCUCAGGCUCCACGAAAAAUUCAAGGACGAACAAGUCGCCUUCACAGAAUGCGCCACCAGGAACAUGUGCGACAUGGGAGUGAGAGCGCUGUUUGCUGCUGGCCGUAAUGUGGACAUCAAGGUCAACAUAUGCAGCCGUGCGCUUGGAAUCUCUAAAGGAAAGCACACUAUAGAAACAAGAGGAUGCAUGAGGAGGAAAGAAAACCUCAACAAUAAAUAUGGACUAAAUGAAUAAAAUGGCUAAAGA